Molecule: ribosomal RNA, 370 nt
Filed under: uncultured bacterium
Lineage: Bacteria
Description: partial 16S ribosomal RNA
Rfam family: Bacterial small subunit ribosomal RNA
Source: RNAcentral
CCUACGGGUGGCAGCAGUGGGGAAUAUUGGUCAAUGGGCGCAAGCCUGACCCAGCAACGCCGCGUGAAGGAAGAAGGCUUUCGGGUUGUUAACUUCUUUUCUCAGGGACGAAGCAAGUGACGGUACCUGAGGAAUAAGCCAUUGCUAACUACGUGCCAGCAGCCGCGGGAAUACGUAGGUGGCAAGCGUUAUCCGGAUUUACUGGGUGUAAAGGGCGUGUAGGCGGGACUGCAAGUCAGAUGUGAAAACCAUGGGCUCAACCUAUGGCUUGCAGUUGAAACUGUAGUUCUUGAGUACUGGAGAGGCAGACGGAAUUCCUGGUGUAGCGGUGAAAUGCGUAGAUAUUAGGAGGAACACCGGUGGCGAAGGC